UGGAGACAUUGCCUGCUCUUUCGGUUACAGCCUACUGUUCCCCUCCUUGCCACUGAGCCCCAUGAGCUCUGCCCAGCUAGUUGCCUGUCAGUUGCCUAGAGUCCAUGAACAUUCCGCUCCAGGGAGUUACAUUGGGGCAGUUUGGAGGAGUAGCCCCCAUUUGGGUUCUUUUCCUUCAGAUUUUGGUGAGAUGUAUCUGCUGGUUAUCCUGAAUCCACCUUGCCACAGGUGUUCCAGUUAUGCCUCCAUGAGGAGCAUUCCAUCUCUUUCCGAAACAGAUAUGCAAUGCUGCUACUGCUACUGCUGAAACGAUAUUUCUAUGCCCCACAGGGCUCAUCGAAGCUUGAGAAGCAAUUUUAGAUCAAGAAAAGGGAACUAGGGAAAAGAACCAAGAGUCAUUGCUUUAGAGAUUGAGCUCCCGUGAUGUGUCGCAAGGAGGCGCUUUGACGAUCCGAUGUCCUGGGCCAAACGCGUUUCGACCGACACCGUCUUCGUCAACUGGCGUUAAAUCAUGUGCUGCUGCACACCGAGGUGACGCUUCCAAGGAGACGCUCCCACCACCCGUACUCCCUGUUCUUCACCAAGUGGCUCAGACUUUGCCACUGGAGAAACCAGAAUCUUCACUCAUGCUUGGAAGGAGCUGCUGUCCUUUUCCAGGAGGGCAAGACGGCCCCCGAGACAGCCAUCCGAGCAGCUCUUGGAGACCCAUCGGACCCUCGGAGCCCUUCUCCCCACCCUCCUUGCAAAACUUGCAUGAGGAGAGAAGAGGCUGAUGGCGACCUUCUCUCCUCCCCGCCCCCUGGGCCACUUCCACAUCCUGCAAAGGUCCCUUUGGAAAGGGGGCUGCCCCCACCAGGGGUGUGGGGCAAAACAGUGUUUGUCUCUGGCACCAGCUCAAGGCCUUGGCUGCCCUUUUUGCAAAUCACGGUUGUUGUUGCUGCUCUUGUGGGAGGCCGCAGGG
Long non-coding RNA from Hemicordylus capensis (graceful crag lizard), 961 nucleotides. RefSeq lists it as uncharacterized. The transcript has 3 exons. NCBI's taxonomy places the organism in Eukaryota, Metazoa, Chordata, Lepidosauria, Squamata, Cordylidae. The record is from RefSeq and is a predicted model, not a curated record.